This 434-nucleotide ribosomal RNA is filed under the name uncultured Roseburia sp. RNAcentral's name for it is "partial 16S ribosomal RNA". It matches the Rfam family "Bacterial small subunit ribosomal RNA", at positions 341 to 792 of the family's 1533-position model. The record is from RNAcentral. Lineage: Bacteria; Bacillati; Bacillota; Clostridia; Lachnospirales; Lachnospiraceae.
ACGGAAGGCAGCAGUGGGGAAUAUUGCACAAUGGGCGAAAGCCUGAUGCAGCGACGCCGCGUGAGUGAUGAAGUAUUUCGGUAUGUAAAGCUCUAUCAGCAGGGAAGAUAAUGACGGUACCUGACUAAGAAGCACCGGCUAAAUACGUGCCAGCAGCCGCGGUAAUACGUAUGGUGCAAGCGUUAUCCGGAUUUACUGGGUGUAAAGGGAGUGCAGGCGGUACGGCAAGUCUGAUGUGAAAGCCCGGGGCUCAACCCCGGUACUGCAUUGGAAACUGUCGAACUAGAGUGUCGGAGGGGUAAGUGGAAUUCCUAGUGUAGCGGUGAAAUGCGUAGAUAUUAGGAGGAACACCAGUGGCGAAGGCGACUUACUGGACGAUAACUGACGCUGAGGCUCGAAAGCGUGGGGAGCAAACAGGAUUAGAUACCCUGGUA